CCUACGGGAGGCAGCAGUGGGGAAUAUUGGACAAUGGGCGAAAGCCUGAUCCAGCCAUGCCGCGUGAGUGAUGAAGGCCUUAGGGUUGUAAAGCUCUUUUAUCCGGGAAGAUAAUGACUGUACCGGAAGAAUAAGCCCCGGCUAACUUCGUGCCAGCAGCCGCGGUAAUACGAAGGGGGCUAGCGUUGCUCGGAAUCACUGGGCGUAAAGGGCGCGUAGGCGGAUGAUUAAGUCGGAGGUGAAAGCCCAGGGCUCAACCCUGGAAUUGCCUUCGAUACUGAUCGUCUCGAGAAUGGAAGAGGUAAGUGGAAUACCGAGUGUAGAGGUGAAAUUCGUAGAUAUUCGGUGGAACACCAGUGGCGAAGGCGACUUACUGGUCCAUUUCUGACGCUGAGGCGCGAAAGCGUGGGGAUCAAACAGGAUUAGAUACCCUGGUAGUCCACGCCGUAAACGAUGAAUGCCAGCCGUUGGGGAGCUUGCUCUUCAGUGGCGCNGCUACGUACUUAGUACACUUCCGUCCGUCGGGAGGUACGGUCGCGAAGAAUUAAACUAACAAAGAAGUUAGUACGGCGUGAGACGUGCCGAACGGACGACGACGAGGGAGUAGG
Molecule: ribosomal RNA, 608 nt
Filed under: uncultured bacterium
Lineage: Bacteria
Description: bacterial SSU rRNA
Rfam family: Bacterial small subunit ribosomal RNA (bases 1-519)
Source: RNAcentral